CAGUGGGUGCAAGACCCACCCGGCAACCGCUCCAGCCGGAAGCAACCGGGGCAGGCAUGGAGGUGACGAAAUGUCUGAAGCCCUCGGAUAGCGGUCACGAAUUUGGUGACCGCGCGAGUGUGCAGGCCGCAACGCGA
Molecule: non-coding RNA, 137 nt
Filed under: Rhizobiales bacterium GAS113
Lineage: Bacteria; Pseudomonadati; Pseudomonadota; Alphaproteobacteria; Hyphomicrobiales
Source: RNAcentral